Molecule: ribosomal RNA, 492 nt
Filed under: uncultured bacterium
Lineage: Bacteria
Description: partial 16S ribosomal RNA
Rfam family: Bacterial small subunit ribosomal RNA
Source: RNAcentral
GGUGAACGCUGGCGGUAGGCCUAACACAUGCAAGUCGAACGGCAGCACAGUAAGAGCUUGCUCUUACGGGUGGCGAGUGGCGGACGGGUGAGGAAUACAUCGGAAUCUACUUUUUCGUGGGGGAUAACGUAGGGAAACUUACGCUAAUACCGCAUACGACCUACGGGUGAAAGCAGGGGAUCUUCGGACCUUGCGCGAUUGAAUGAGCCGAUGUCGGAUUAGCUAGUUGGCGGGGUAAAGGCCCACCAAGGCGACGAUCCGUAGCUGGUCUGAGAGGAUGAUCAGCCACACUGGAACUGAGACACGGUCCAGACUCCUACGGGAGGCAGCAGUGGGGAAUAUUGGACAAUGGGCGCAAGCCUGAUCCAGCCAUACCGCGUGGGUGAAGAAGGCCUUCGGGUUGUAAAGCCCUUUUGUUGGGAAAGAAAAGCAGCAGGUUAAUACCCCGCUGUUCUGACGGUACCCAAAGAGUAAGCACCGGCUAACUUCGUG